RNAcentral lists this long non-coding RNA (1272 nucleotides) under Sorghum bicolor (sorghum). RNAcentral's name for it is "long non-coding RNA (SBIC_LNC002601)". Lineage: Eukaryota; Viridiplantae; Streptophyta; Magnoliopsida; Poales; Poaceae. The record is from RNAcentral.
CCUAAUUUGCACAUUUUGAGUUCUCUCUCAAGUUUAGAUAUAACUGUUAUAAUUUAAAGCUUGCUCUAGACCUAAACUUGUGGGAUGAAAAUUUGAUCUGAAGUCUAAGUUGUUAACGGAUACGAUAUGGGAAGGUUGAGCUGCUGUUUAUCUGUUCCUAGAGAUGCUAGAAUUCUGGAGAAUUUUAUCUUUGAAAAUCUUUAAAAUGUUGCAUGAUGAGUUCCUGUAUGAUGAGAGUUUAAAUUCCUACCACAGCCAUAUAUACAUGCUUGCUAGACUUUGAGCCACACAUUUACUAUUUACUGCUUAUGAGCAUUGAGUGUGGUCAAGCUGUGUAGACCCUUAGGAACUUGUCAUGUGGUUAAAUCAAGAUUCACUUGCACGUUCACUCAUAUAUGUUACUUCUACUCCGGAAGUACCAUCCACAUAUAUCCACCCAUUCCAUCUCCAGAAUCACCCAAAAAUAUUCUACUCCUAAUCCAGGAGAAAAUAACCAAAAAUAUUUUGUUUUUCCCUUGUGAAAUAAAUGCUCAAGUUAUCUUGUUACUACCACUUGCUAUAUUAUCUCAUGAGAUGAGUGCUUUCUAAAAAAAAAGAAAUACGAGGAAAUAAAAAGGAGCAAGUGCUCGGAACCUCGAAAGAAAAGAAAAAGUGAGACGAGAGGUAAAAAUGGACAAGUGUCCGACAGUAGAAUUAGGGUGCAAGAUACCCACCUGAGAGAAAAGAAAAAGAAGAGCAUCUCAUUCUCCUCAUAAAGUUUCAAAAAAAAACAAGGAAGGUAUGUAUCCCCUCAAAGAGCAAAGUAGAAUUAGACUUCCACCACCAUUGUUUUCACCAUUGUUAUCACCAUCAUCACCAUACAUCAUUCAUUCGCCACACAUGCACAUCUUGAUUAAACUCAUUGGCUUGUUUCUUUGGAUCCAUGGUUUGAAUAUGCAAUACAUGUCUUGUAAGUAUGUAUAUUUUAUCUCCCACCUAUGAGCUCUAGAUAUUAAAGCCUUAUUAGAGUAGGGUGAGAGAGAAGGCAAUGUCACUAUGCCUUACACCACAAAUACCACAUAUCUUGAGAGAAGGCAUAUACCAUCACUGCCUUGGUAAGGAUCCAGAAAUAUCACAAAAGAGAGAUCUGAGAGAAUCAUACAAGGAAUCUCUGAGUUUUAUUUGAAAAUAUGCAAAAACCCCAGAGCUAUAGCUGAUCAAGAAUAAGAGACAUGGCACUUGACUAGACUGUUCUAUCUUUUAACCACUCAAGACACAAGUGACAGUUACAAG